Long non-coding RNA from Acanthochromis polyacanthus (spiny chromis), 430 nucleotides. RefSeq lists it as uncharacterized. NCBI's taxonomy places the organism in Eukaryota, Metazoa, Chordata, Actinopteri, Pomacentridae. The record is from RefSeq and is a predicted model, not a curated record. The transcript has 2 exons.
AAAGUUGAUAUAUAUAUAAUGAAAGUCGGAAUAUAGAAUGUUCAGAUUUUCAUUCCAUCUAUUCAAAGUUUCAUUCCAUAUAUUCAGACUUUUUCCUACUGAGCCCUGGAAGAACAUGGCAAACAAAAACAGGAACCUUAUUGGACAUUUGCUCUUCAGAUGAGCUCUUCUGUGAUUAUCUAUCUGUCUUCAUGGUUGUCACAGGGAACGGCGACUACGUUUGAGAAAACAGCUGGUCUUAAGGCUAAUUACGAGGCAGAGGUCAGCUGCUGCCUGGACACAUCCAUGAUCACGCCACUGGUGGGACACAAUUGCACUGGAUUUCAGCUGAAGGCUGCUGUUCUGUCCAAACUGAGACAUUUUUAUUGUGACAUACCCUCCACUGUUGUUAGCUUUUGAUUCAAUAAAUUUUUUUGAGAUGAGGAAAUCA